Molecule: long non-coding RNA, 699 nt
Filed under: Homo sapiens (human)
Lineage: Eukaryota; Metazoa; Chordata; Mammalia; Primates; Hominidae
Description: non-protein coding LINC01497:2
Source: RNAcentral
GCUGCAAGACACCCUGCUUCUGGCUCUGAGCUUUGCUUGUCUUCAGGGAUGGAGCCCCUCCCAAGGCAAGUUCAACUGGGUUCUUUGGCAGCCGAAGUCUACACGGACCCUGCAGGGAGCGGUGGAGAAAAGUUAGAUGUCUGAAGUGUUUUUCAUUGGACCAAAAUCAAGGUGUUGGCUGGGCUACCUUCCCUUCUGGAGACUCUAAGGAAGAAUCCAUUUCCUUGUCUUUUCCAGAUCCUAGAGGCUACCUGCAUUCCUUGGCUUUUAUCCCCAAUCUUCCAUCUUCGGAGCCAGCAACAAUAUAUUGAUCAUGAGGAGAGGGCUCACCCCUCACCCGGAGAAGUAGUUGGGGAAGCAAUAUGCGGAAACAAAGCCAUGAAUCUGACAAGAAAUGUACUUAAGAUUGUAUAUAUGGAGAUGAAUACCCAUUGUCCUUUGCACUUUCUGGAUGAUAAAUUAGAAAAGAAAAAUCCAAAGAAUGAAGUUGUGCUAUUUGUCCUCACUUCUGAUUUGGGAAACUAGAGGAAAUUAAGAUGGGAAAAGACCAUGUGAGGACACAGUGAGAAGGAGACCAUAUGCAAAGCAGGAAGGAAGAUCUCACUGGAACCAAAAACCAGCCCUGCUGGCACCCUGAUCUUGGACUUCUAGCCUUUCUCAGAACUGUGAGAAAAUAAAUUUCUGAUGUUUCAGCCACUC